UACGGAGGGUGCAAGCGUUGUUCGGAAUUACUGGGCGUAAAGCGCGUGUAGGCGGUCGGGCAAGUCGGAUGUGAAAGCCUUCCGCUUAACGGGAGAAUUGCAUUCGAAACUACCCGGCUGGAGUACGGGAGAGGAGAGUGGAAUUCCCGGUGUAGAGGUGAAAUUCGUAGAUAUCGGGAGGAACACCAGUGGCGAAGGCGGCUCUCUGGUCCGAUACUGACGCUGAGACGCGAAAGCGUGGGGAGCAAACAGG
RNAcentral lists this ribosomal RNA (253 nucleotides) under uncultured bacterium. RNAcentral describes it as "partial 16S ribosomal RNA". It matches the Rfam family "Bacterial small subunit ribosomal RNA", at positions 524 to 776 of the family's 1533-position model. The record is from RNAcentral.